Molecule: transfer RNA, 76 nt
Filed under: Deinococcus radiotolerans
Lineage: Bacteria; Thermotogati; Deinococcota; Deinococci; Deinococcales; Deinococcaceae
Description: tRNA-Arg
Rfam family: tRNA
About the family: Transfer RNA (tRNA) molecules are approximately 80 nucleotides in length.
Source: RNAcentral
GAACUGGUCGCUCAGCUGGAAGAGCGCCCCGCGACGAACGGGGAGGUCGCAGGUUCAAGUCCUGCCCAGUUCACCA